This 2411-nucleotide long non-coding RNA is filed under the name Homo sapiens (human). Its description in RNAcentral is "HSALNT0214740". The record is from RNAcentral. Lineage: Eukaryota; Metazoa; Chordata; Mammalia; Primates; Hominidae.
CCCGCCUUGUGAGAUGUGACUUUGUUCCUCAUUUGCCUUCUGCCACGAUUGUGCGACCUCCCCAGCCGUGCGGAACUGUGAGUCCAUUAAACCUCUUUCCUUUGUAAAUUCCCCAGUCUCGGGUAUGUGUUUAUUAGCAGUGUGAGAACAGACUAAUACAGUAAAUUGGUACCAGGUAGUGAGGUGUUACAGUAAAGAUACUCAAAAAUUUGGAAGCAACUUUGGAACUGGGUAAUAGGUAGAGGUUGGAAGAGUUUGGAGGUCUCAGAAGAUGACAGGAAAAUAUGGGAAAGUUUGGAACUUCCUAGAGAGUUGGAGGGCUCAGAAGACAGGAAGAUGUGGGAAAGUUUGGAACUUCCUAGAGAGUUGUUGAAUGGCUUUGACCAAAAUGCUGAUAGUGAUAAGGACAAUAAGGUCCAGGCUGUGGUGGUCUCAGAUGCAGAUUAGGAACUUGUUGGGAACUGGAGUAAAGGUCACUCUUGUUACUUUAGCACUAAGAGACUGGCAGCAUUUUGCUCCUGCCCUAGAGAUCUGUGAAACUUCGAACUUGAGAGAGAUGAUUUAAGGUAUCUGUUUGGAAGAAAUUUCUAAGCAGCAAAGCAUUCAAGAGGUGAUUUAAGUGCCGUUAAAAGCAUUCAGUCUUGGCUAGGUUUGGUGGCUCACACCUGUAAUCUCAGCACUUUGGGAGGCCAAAGCUGGCGGAUCAGUUGAGGUCAGGAGUUCCAGACCAGCCUGGCCAACAGAGCAAAAUCCUGUCUCUAUUAAAAAUAUAAAGAUCAGCCAGGUGAAGUGGUGUGCUUGCACCUGUAAUUCCAGCUACUUGGGAGGCUGAGGCACAAGAAUUGCUUGAACCUGGGAGGCAGAGGUUGCAGUGAGCAGAGAUUGUGCCACUCCAGCCUGGGUGAGACUCAGUCUCGGAAAAAAAAAAAAAAGUGAGACUUAAAAAAGGUGAGACUCAGUCUCAAAAAAAAAAUUCAGUUUUAUGUAUUCACAAAGACAUGGUUUGGAAUUGGAACUUCUGUUUAAAAGGGAAGCAGAGCAUAAAAGUUAGGAAAAUUUGCAGCCCGAUGAUGCCACAGAAAAGAAAAACCCAUUUUCUGAGGGGAAAAUUCAACCCACUGCAGAAAUUUGUGUAAGUAACUAGGAGCCAAAUGUUAAUCACUAAGGCAAUGGAGAAAAUGUCUCCAGAACAUGUCAGAGGUCUUCAUGGCAGCCCCUCCCAUCACAAGCCUGGAGGCCUAGGAGGAAAACAUGGUUUCCUGGGCCGGAUUCAGGGCCCCGUUGCUUUGUGUAAUCUGGGGACUUGGUGCCCUGUGUCCCAGCCGUGGCUGAAAGGGGCCAAUGUAGAACUCAGGCCAUUGCUUCAGAGGGUGAAGCCCCAAACCUUGGCAGCUUCAACCUGGUAUUGGGCCUGUGGGUGCACAGGAGUCAAUAAUUGAGGUUUGGGAACCUCUGCCUAGAUUUCAGAGGAUGUAUGGAAAUGCCAGGAUGUCCAGGUAGGGGUGUGCUGCAGAGGCGGUGCCCUCAUGAAGAACCUCUGCUAGUGCAGUGUGGAAGGGAAACGUGGGGUCAGAGUCCCCACACAGAGUCCCCACUAGGGCACCACCUAGUGGAGCUGUGAGAGGAGGGCCACUGUCCUCCAGAUCACAGAAUGGUCGACCUACCAACAGCUUGGACUGUGGGCCUGGAAAAGCCACAGAUACUCAACACCAGCCAAUGAAAGCAGCCAGGAGUGGGGCUGUACCCUGCAAAACCACAGGGUGGAGCUGCCCAAGACCAUAAAGACCCACCUCUUGUAUCAGUGUGACCUGGAUGUGAGACAUGGAGUCAAAGGAGAUCAUUUUGGAGCUUUAAGAUUUAAUGACUGCCUUGCUGGAGUUUGGACUUGCAUGGAGCCUUGAUUUUGGCCAAUUUCUCCCAUUUGGAACAGGUGUAUUUACCAAAUGCCUGUACCCCCAUUGUAUCUAGGAAGUAACUAACUUGCUUUUGGUUUUACAGGCUCAUAGGCAGAAGGGACUUGUCUUGUCUCAGAUAAGACUUUGGACUUGGACUUUUGGGUUAAUGCUAAAAUGAGUUAAGACUUUGGAGGACUGUUGGGAAGGCAUGAUUAGUUUUGAAAUAUGAAGACAUGAGAUUUGGGAGGGGCCAGGGGCAAAAUGAUAUGGUUUGGCUCUGUGUCCCCACCCAAAUCUCACCUUGAACUGUAAUAAUUCCCAUGUGUCAAGGGCGGGACUAGGUGGAGAUAAUUGAAUGAUGGGGAUGGUUUCCCCCAUACUGUUCUCACAGUAGUGAAUAAAUCUCAUGAGAUCUGAUGGUUUUGUAAAUGGGAGUUCCCCUGCACAAGCUCUCUUUCCUGCCACUGUAUAAGAUGUGACUUUGCUCCUCAUUCACCUUCUUCCAUGAUCGUGAGG